Molecule: long non-coding RNA, 1227 nt
Organism: Empidonax traillii (willow flycatcher)
Lineage: Eukaryota; Metazoa; Chordata; Aves; Passeriformes; Tyrannidae
Exons: 2
Source: RefSeq, a predicted model, not a curated record
AAAGGAGAAAAAAACCCAAACCACAACCUAUUUGCAAUAUAAAGUUUUAAAUCGAGCUUCAGCGCGACAAGGCUUUUACACCCCUUCCCUGGAGAGCUAUUGUCUAAGAGAGCUGAUUUUCUCCCCCUCACUCCCAUCCCUGCUUGACAGUCUUAGAGGCAGCAGUGGCUGAACCUGUUGGCAAGGAACAUUCCACUUCCAGGUGAUCUGGGAAAACAGUCCUGCUGUUGUUGCUGCUUCUAAGAGAGAUGAGGGGGGAAAGAGCCGGCACCGGCUUCUUGUACGUGCACACAUGGUGAAGCUGGAAUGCUCCGUGUUAACCGAGCUGUGCUGAAAAGCUGGGAACUUCGGCUCAGGACCGAAGCGCUUUGUCAGCUGGAGGGCCCUUUCAGAGGAGUUCUUUAAGCCGUGCAGCAUAAUGGAUAAACUGAAAUGACAGACGUGGGGCCAGGGGAGCGCCGGCUGUGCCUUUCCCGGAGCAGCGGAGCGGUUCGACUCUUGCGUAAGCCUGCACGCGCUGCCAGCCCCUCGGGUUGUCUGAAGGGAGCCCUUCAUGUGACCCUCAGCCAUCCCAAACGGACCAAUAUUAAUGUGAGACAUAAAACCUACUCGUUACGUAACCGUCUCUCCCGGCCAAGUGUUUCCUACUGCAGUAACCAAACAUUUUUAAUUUUAACUUGCCGCUAAAAUAAAACCCUCCGUGGGUAGAAGGAAGCGCAUGGGUGGGAACGGGGAGCGCAGGUUAUUCGUGUCCCAGCGUGAUGUGCCAGAAAGAUCAGCGAUGUAUUUUUGUUUGAUUUACGUGGCUGAUUUAGUCUGACAGCAUCUGUUCAAAUGUGCCCCAAGACCCAUGUCAUGCUUUUGCUAAUACAGACAAAAGGAAAAUUGCAAGCUUCGUGAAAUGCUUUUUAAUUAUACCUUUGCUGCCCGGUAAAACAUUGGACUUUAAAGGUGUCCUGAAAACAGUAGUGUAAUUUUAAUUUACUUAGAAAUGCACUGACCUGGCAUUCUGACUUGGUCUGAAGGACAGAGCCAGAAAGUAGAAAAUGCAGUUUCAGCAUUUAAAAACGUGAGAGAAGCAGAUGACUGUCCCUUUGGCCACGUAAGGCAUUAUAGCUGAAACCCCUGAUGUGCCAUAUGGAACCUUACUGUUUUGUGGGAUUGUAGGCUGUUUUGAUGUAGAGAAUUUGUCUGAUAAAUCUUAAAGUCAUCAGGUUUUCCUCUGGC